This 253-nucleotide ribosomal RNA is filed under the name uncultured bacterium. Its description in RNAcentral is "partial 16S ribosomal RNA". It matches the Rfam family "Bacterial small subunit ribosomal RNA", at positions 524 to 776 of the family's 1533-position model. The record is from RNAcentral.
UACGUAGGGCGCAAGCGUUAUCCGGAAUUAUUGGGCGUAAAGCGCACGUAGGCGGUUCGUUAAGUCGGAUGUGAAAGCCCUCGCUCAACUGAGGAAGUGCACCCGAAACUGGCGAGCUUGAGUACGAAAGAGGAUCGCGGAAUUCCCGGUGUAGAGGUGAAAUGCGCAGAUAUCGGGAGGAACACCAGUAGCGAAGGCGGCACUCUGGGCCGGUACUGACGCUGAGGCGCGAAAAGCGUGGGGAGCAAACAGG